UACGUAGGUCCCGAGCGUUGUCCGGAUUUAUUGGGCGUAAAGCGAGCGCAGGUGGUUUAAUAAGUCUGAUGUAAAAGGCAGUGGCUCAACCAUUGUGUGCAUUGGAAACUGUCUGGCUUGAGUUCCGGAGAGGAGGGGGGAAUUCCCGGUGUAGCGGUGAAAUGCGUAGAUAUCGGGAGGAAUACCGGUGGCGAAGGCGCCCCUCUGGACUGUAACUGACACUGAGGCUCGAAAGCGUGGGUAGCAAACAGG
This 252-nucleotide ribosomal RNA is filed under the name uncultured microorganism. RNAcentral describes it as "partial 16S ribosomal RNA". It matches the Rfam family "Bacterial small subunit ribosomal RNA", at positions 524 to 776 of the family's 1533-position model. The record is from RNAcentral.